AGAGUUUGAUCCUGGCUCAGGACGAACGCUGGCGGCGUGCUUAACACAUGCAAGUCGAGCGGAAAGGCCCUUCGGGGUACUCGAGCGGCGAACGGGUGAGUAACACGUGAGUAACCUGCCCCUAGCUCUGGGAUAGCUCCGGGAAACCGGGAUUAAUACCAGAUACGACCACUUUAGACAUCUUUUGUGGUGGAAAGGAUUCCGGCUAGGGAUGGGCUCGCGGCCUAUCAGCUUGUUGGUGGGGUAACGGCCUACCAAGGCGACGACGGGUAGCCGGCCUGAGAGGGCGACCGGCCACACUGGGACUGAGACACGGCCCAGACUCCUACGGGAGGCAGCAGUGGGGAAUAUUGCGCAAUGGGCGAAAGCCUGACGCAGCGACGCCGCGUGGGGGAUGAAGGCCUUCGGGUUGUAAA
This 416-nucleotide ribosomal RNA is filed under the name uncultured bacterium. RNAcentral describes it as "bacterial SSU rRNA". It matches the Rfam family "Bacterial small subunit ribosomal RNA", at positions 8 to 429 of the family's 1533-position model. The record is from RNAcentral.